RNAcentral lists this ribosomal RNA (869 nucleotides) under Cicurina sp. ZZ-2016. RNAcentral describes it as "SSU rRNA". It matches the Rfam family "Eukaryotic small subunit ribosomal RNA", at positions 943 to 1829 of the family's 1831-position model. The record is from RNAcentral. Lineage: Eukaryota; Metazoa; Arthropoda; Arachnida; Araneae; Dictynidae.
UUGCGAAAAGCUUUGCCAAGAAUGUUUCCAUUAAUCAAGAACGAAAGUUAGAGGUUCGAAGGCGAUCAGAUACCGCCCUAGUUCUAACCAUAAACGAUGCCAGCCAGCGAUCCGGCUGUGUUCCUCAAAUGACACGCCGGGCAGCUUCCGGGAAACCAAAGCUUUUGGGUUCCGGGGGAAGUAUGGUUGCAAAGCUGAAACUUAAAGGAAUUGACGGAAGGGCACCACCAGGAAUGGAGCCUGCGGCUUAAUUUGACUCAACACGGGGAAACCUACCCGGCCCGGACACAGGAAGGAUUGACAGAUUGAGAGCUCUUUCUUGAUUCUGUGGCAGGUGGUGCAUGGCCGUUCUUAGUUGGUGAGGCGACUUGUCUGGUUAAUUCCGAUAACGAACGAGACUCUAGCCUACUAAAUAGACGUUCCGAUUAUCGCCGUCGGACGUUCUUCUUAGAGGGACAAGCAGCGUUUAGCUGCACGAGACAGAGCAAUAACAGGUCUGUGAUGCCCUUAGAUGUCCGGGGCCGCACGCGCGCUACAUUGAAGGAAUCAUCGUGUGCUUUCCCUGUCCGACAGGACUGGGUAACCCGUUGAACCUCCUUCGUGCUGGGGAUAGGGGCUUGCAAUUGUUCCCCUUGAACGAGGAAUUCCCAGUAAGCACGAGUCAUCAGCUCGUGUUGACUAAGUCCCUGCCCUUUGUACACACCGCCCGUCGCUACUACCGAUUGAAUGAUUUAGUGAGGUCUUCGGACUGGCGCUCGGAGCGGCCUUCGGGUCGCGCCGGUGUGCCGGAAAGAUGACCAAACUUGAUCAUUUAGAGGAAGUAAAGUCGUAACAAGGUUUCCGUAGGUGAACCUGCGGGAAGGGAUCCA